GAAAUGCGAUACUUGGGGCCGAGGGCACGCCUGCCUGGGUGUCACACAUCGUUUCCCCAACGCAAACAUGUAACAAUGUUGCUGCGCGGGGUGUAUGCUGACCUCCCGCGAGCACCCGCCUCGUGGUUGGUUGAAAUCUGGGUUCAUGGCCGACUUCGCCGUGAUAAAAUGGUGGAUGAGCCACGCUCGAGACCAAUCACGUGCGAGCCGGUCAGUUCUGGACCCAUCGACGACCCUUUGCGUGCACGCACGCUCCCAACGAGACCUCAGGUCAGGCGGGGCUACCCGCUGAGUUUAA
RNAcentral lists this unclassified non-coding RNA (298 nucleotides) under uncultured fungus. Its description in RNAcentral is "sequence contains ITS1". Lineage: Eukaryota; Fungi. The record is from RNAcentral.